Molecule: transfer RNA, 75 nt
Filed under: Sphingomonas jinjuensis
Lineage: Bacteria; Pseudomonadati; Pseudomonadota; Alphaproteobacteria; Sphingomonadales; Sphingomonadaceae
Description: tRNA-Trp
Rfam family: tRNA
About the family: Transfer RNA (tRNA) molecules are approximately 80 nucleotides in length. Their secondary structure includes four short double-helical elements and three loops (D, anti-codon, and T loops).
Source: RNAcentral
AGGAGUGUAGCUCAGUGGUAGAGCAUCGGUCUCCAAAACCGAGGGCCGUGGGUUCGAAUCCCUCCACUCCUGCCA